CCUACGGGUGGCAGCAGUGGGGAAUAUUGGACAAUGGGGGCAACCCUGAUCCAGCCAUGCCGCGUGUGUGAAGAAGGCCCUCGGGUUGUAAAGCACUUUCAGUGAGGAAGAACGCCUGGUGGUGAAUACCCAUCAGGAAAGACAUCACUCACAGAAGAAGCACCGGCUAACUCCGUGCCAGCAGCCGCGGUAAUACGGAGGGUGCGAGCGUUAAUCGGAAUUACUGGGCGUAAAGCGCGCGUAGGUGGCUUGAGUAAGCCGGUUGUGAAAGCCCCGGGCUCAACCUGGGAACGGCAUCCGGAACUGUCAAGCUAGAGUGCAGGAGAGGAAGGUAGAAUUCCCGGUGUAGCGGUGAAAUGCGUAGAGAUCGGGAGGAAUACCAGUGGCGAAGGCGGCCUUCUGGACUGACACUGACACUGAGGUGCGAAAGCGUGGGUAGCGAACAGGAUUAGAUACCCGAGUAGUC
Molecule: ribosomal RNA, 466 nt
Filed under: Vreelandella stevensii
Lineage: Bacteria; Pseudomonadati; Pseudomonadota; Gammaproteobacteria; Oceanospirillales; Halomonadaceae
Description: partial 16S ribosomal RNA
Rfam family: Bacterial small subunit ribosomal RNA
Source: RNAcentral